Molecule: transfer RNA, 72 nt
Filed under: Smittium mucronatum
Lineage: Eukaryota; Fungi; Kickxellomycota; Harpellomycetes; Harpellales; Legeriomycetaceae
Rfam family: tRNA
About the family: Transfer RNA (tRNA) molecules are approximately 80 nucleotides in length.
Source: Rfam by way of RNAcentral
GGUUGUGUAGUGUAAUGGUUAGCACCUAAGACUCUGAAUCUUAUAAUCCGAGUUCGAGUCUCGGCACGACCU